ACUCCUACGGGAGGCAGCAGGAUCCAGCCAUGCCGCGUGUGUGAAGAAGGUCUUCGGAUUGUAAAGCACUUUAAGUUGGGAGGAAGGGCAUUAACCUAAUACGUUAGUGUUUUGACGUUACCGACAGAAUAAGCACCGGCUAACUUCGUGCCAGCAGCCGCGGUAAUACGAAGGGUGCAGCCAGCAGCCGCGGUA
This 195-nucleotide ribosomal RNA is filed under the name uncultured bacterium. RNAcentral's name for it is "partial 16S ribosomal RNA". It matches the Rfam family "Bacterial small subunit ribosomal RNA", at positions 335 to 546 of the family's 1533-position model. The record is from RNAcentral.